This 66-nucleotide small RNA is filed under the name Acididesulfobacillus acetoxydans. Its description in RNAcentral is "Peptococcaceae bacterium INE non-coding RNA". Lineage: Bacteria; Bacillati; Bacillota; Clostridia; Eubacteriales; Peptococcaceae. The record is from RNAcentral.
GUUUCAAUUCCUCAUAGGCAGGCUAUCGGCUUGACGAGUAUCUUGAUAUUGACGCACAGUGGAUGG